AUAAAUAGUAUUCUUCUUCUAGAGAAUAUAUUUUCUGGGUCAAAAUUGGGUUAAAAUAGAGUCAAAAUCGAAUAGGUUCGGUUAAAUUUUGGGUAAUUCAAACCGGGUGUAUAAUUAUUGGUUAACUGGUCGGUUCAAUUGGAGGCGUAGUUUUAACAACAAAUCCGAAAGUACGUGUAGUUUUAUCGAGAUUAAAGUUUUUUAUGGUGGUUUUUCAAGUGACUAAAAGUUUAGGAUGGAAAGUUGAGAUUCCAACUAGUAGAGGGUUGAAAAUUCAGGCAACCCUACAUAUAUCGUAUGCUCUACAAAAUAAAUAUA
RNAcentral lists this small RNA (318 nucleotides) under Arabidopsis thaliana (thale cress). RNAcentral describes it as "ATSL280360". The record is from RNAcentral. Lineage: Eukaryota; Viridiplantae; Streptophyta; Magnoliopsida; Brassicales; Brassicaceae.